Molecule: ribosomal RNA, 815 nt
Filed under: uncultured bacterium
Lineage: Bacteria
Description: bacterial SSU rRNA
Rfam family: Bacterial small subunit ribosomal RNA
Source: RNAcentral
AGAGUUUGAUCCUGGCUCAGAACGAACGCUGGCGGCGUGGAUAAGACAUGCAAGUCGAACGCUGAUCAAAGGGUAGUAAUAUCCUUUGGUUGGAGUGGCGCAAGGGUGCGUAACACGUGGGUAAUUUGCCAUAAAGUUGGGGAUAACUCGCUGAAAGGCGAGCUAAUACCGAAUGUGAUUUUUAGAGGGCAUCCUCCGAAAAUUAAAGUUGGGGACCGCAAGGCCUGACGCUUUAUGAUAAGCCCGCGACCUAUCAGCUAGUUGGUGAGGUAACGGCUCACCAAGGCUAAGACGGGUAGCUGGUCUGAGAGGACGACCAGUCACACUGGAACUGAGACACGGUCCAGACACCUACGGGUGGCAGCAGUCGAGAAUUUUUCUCAAUGGGCGAAAGCCUGAAGGAGCGACGCCGCGUGAGGGAUGAAGGGCUUCGGCUCGUAAACCUCUGUCAUUUGCGAUCAAACCUUUUUAUUGAACAGAUAAGAAGCUGAUAGUAGCGAAAGAGGAAGGGACGGCUAACUCUGUGCCAGCAGCCGCGGUAAUACAGAGGUCCCAAGCGUUGUUCGGAUUCACUGGGCGUAAAGGGUGCGUAGGUGGUGAGGUAAGUUUGAUGUGAAAGCUCCGAGCUUAACUCGGAAAUGGCAUUGAAUACUACUUUGCUAGAGGGUUGGAGGGGAGACUGGAAUACUUGGUGUAGCAGUGAAAUGCGUAGAUAUCAAGUGGAACACCAGUGGCGAAGGCGAGUCUCUGGACAACUCCUGACACUGAGGCACGAAAGCUAGGGGAGCAAACNNGAUUAGAUACCCUAGUAGUCC